GAUGAAGAACGUAGUGAAAUGCGAUAAGUAGUGUGAAUUGCAGAAUUCAGUGAAUCAUCGAAUCUUUGAACGCACAUUGCGCCCCUUGGUAUUCCAUGGGGCAUGCCUGUUCGAGCGUCAUUUGUACCUUCAAGCUCUGCUUGGUGUUGGGUGUUUGUCCUUGCUCUAGUGGCGGGACUCGCCUUAAAGUAAUUGGCAGCCAGUGUUUUGGUUUUGAAGCGCAGCACAAGUCGCGAUUCAAGUCUAUACGCUAGUUUCCACAAGUCUUUUAUCACUUUUGACCUCGGAUCAGGUAGGGAUACCCGCUGAACUUAAGCAUAUCAAUAAGCGGAGGA
Molecule: unclassified non-coding RNA, 335 nt
Filed under: soil metagenome
Description: partial contains 5.8S ribosomal RNA, internal transcribed spacer 2, and large subunit ribosomal RNA
Rfam family: 5.8S ribosomal RNA (bases 1-120)
Source: RNAcentral